UGCUCCUGUUCGAGCUGCCCUCCCUCGGAGUUGGGGCCCACGAAGGAGCAGGAGCUCAGGGUGCAUCCAUUCCCGCCCGGGUCCCCGCGCAGAGGCCGUUACAGGUGUCCUCACCGGCUGCAAGGUGUCCCCCGCGAUGACCACUGCCCGGCACUCCCUCACCAACGGGCGGGGUGCCGAAUCCGUCUGCGCGACAGAGUCGGUGGAGGAGGCACGAGGGGAGGCUCCUGUUCCUUCACCUCCCUCCCACCAUCCUCCAGGGCGGCCCCAGCCCUGGCCCCUCCGUUCUCAGACAACUCACCCUGGACAGAAGCCCAAGCCCUGCAACCUCCAUGGAAUGAGCCUGGGCUCCAGCCUUGCUGUGCUCAAGAACACGAAGAGUGAGCCAUCCCCACGCUACAGUGAAGUCCGUGCAUCUUUGUCAGGCAGAUCCCAAAUCAUUGGCUUCCCAUAAGGAAUACUCUGGAUGAAGAAAAGAAUUAAUCUGAAAAGGAGCCAGAAUUCCCUGUGCAGCCAAUGCCUCCCUUCCCCUCAUCAGCCUUCAUGCAAGUUUAACUUACAAACGAACUUUGGCAGGAGUAAAUAAAAAAAAAAUAAAAUAAAAAA
Non-coding RNA from Oryctolagus cuniculus (rabbit), 606 nucleotides. Lineage: Eukaryota; Metazoa; Chordata; Mammalia; Lagomorpha; Leporidae. The record is from RefSeq and is a predicted model, not a curated record.